GGAGGAAUGGUGAAAUUAGGUAGACACGUCAGAUUUAAGCUCUGAUGGACAAUAUUGUCCAUGUGGGUUCGACUCCCACUUCCUCUA
RNAcentral lists this transfer RNA (87 nucleotides) under Crassvirales sp. RNAcentral's name for it is "tRNA-Leu". It matches the Rfam family "tRNA". Rfam says of the family: Transfer RNA (tRNA) molecules are approximately 80 nucleotides in length. Their secondary structure includes four short double-helical elements and three loops (D, anti-codon, and T loops). Further hydrogen bonds mediate the characteristic L-shaped molecular structure. tRNAs have two regions of fundamental functional importance: the anti-codon, which is responsible for specific mRNA codon recognition, and the 3' end, to which the tRNAs corresponding amino acid is attached (by aminoacyl-tRNA synthetases). tRNAs cope with the degeneracy of the genetic code in two manners: having more than one tRNA (with a specific anti-codon) for a particular amino acid; and 'wobble' base-pairing, i.e. permitting non-standard base-pairing at the 3rd anti-codon position. Lineage: Duplodnaviria; Heunggongvirae; Uroviricota; Caudoviricetes; Crassvirales. The record is from RNAcentral.